Molecule: ribosomal RNA, 570 nt
Filed under: uncultured bacterium
Lineage: Bacteria
Description: bacterial SSU rRNA
Rfam family: Bacterial small subunit ribosomal RNA
Source: RNAcentral
AAUAGAUACCCCGGGUAGUCCUGGCCUAGUAAACGCUGAGCACUUAGUUGGGGUAGGGGCUUUCGGCCCAUACCGAACGCAGAGAAAUCAUUAAGUGCUCCGCCUGGGGAGUAUAGGUCGCAAGGCUGAAACUCAAAGGAAUUGACGGGGGCUCACACAAGUCGGUGGAGUCAUGUGGACUUAAUUCGAGGCAACGCGAAGAACCUUAUCCUGGGUUUAGACAUGCAGGGAUUAAACUCUAUGAAAGUAGAGCCACGCCUUCGGGUGGAACCUGCACAGGUGCUGCAUGGCUGUCGUCAGCUCGUGUCGUGAACGNUGUCGUCGUUAAGUCGCUGAACGAGUCGAACCCUUGUCCUUAGUUGCCAGCGGGUCAGUGCCGGGGACUCGUAAGGAGACCCGGUCCGGUAGUCCGAAACCGGAGGAAGGUCGGGGACGACGUCGAAGUCAUCGACUGGUCCUUUAUGGCCCUAGGGCUGCACGACGUGCUACAUGGUAACGUACAAAGGGACGCGAACCCGNGACGGCAACGCAAACCGUCAAAACGCGUAUCGUUAGUUCGGAUUGCGUACG